UUUUUCAGUAAUUUCCUCAGUUUCUUCAACUAUAAAAUGAGGGAAUUAGAUUAAAUGACCUCUGUGCUCUCUUCUAACUUGUUCUCAAUGUUCUGUGAUUCUCUAAACAAUGCCUCUUGGAGUAUCCAUGGUGAUGGUAAAGGAGAGCUCUCAGACAGAAGGGUCCAGAAUGAUCCUGAGUCUCCUCUUCUCAGGUUAAAAAGUGGGGAGAGGAGAGUGACCUCAAGAUAAGUGAUAAUGAAGUGUGGAUCUCACUUAUUGGAAGACCAGUG
RNAcentral lists this long non-coding RNA (272 nucleotides) under Monodelphis domestica (gray short-tailed opossum). RNAcentral's name for it is "lncRNA (ENSMODG00000040060.1)". The record is from RNAcentral. Lineage: Eukaryota; Metazoa; Chordata; Mammalia; Didelphimorphia; Didelphidae.